Molecule: long non-coding RNA, 823 nt
Filed under: Ananas comosus (pineapple)
Lineage: Eukaryota; Viridiplantae; Streptophyta; Magnoliopsida; Poales; Bromeliaceae
Description: long non-coding RNA (ACOM_LNC023860)
Source: RNAcentral
AUCUUUUGACCAAGACCCAUUCAAAUUUUAAUUUUUUUUAAUCUAAAUUUUUAUACCUAAAUAGGUUAAAAUUUUUAUCAAAUUUAAUGAUUUAAAUGUUGAUUGGCCUACUUUUAUUUGCUAAGAAGUAAUUAGAGGUAUUAAAAUGUUAGGAUUUGGUUAGAUUUGUAAUUGAAUCCUAGUUAGAUAAGAAUUAAUAUUUAAAUCUAUUGGAGAUAAAUUAAGAUUUAAAUAUUAAAUUAGAGGAUAAAAUCUAACUAGAUUAGGAUUAAUAUUUAAAUCUAUUAGAGAUUAAUUAAGAUAGAUUUAGAUAUUAAUUGGAGUAGAAAUCCUAAAUAUAUUAGGAUUGGGGUACGUUUUUGUGGAGCCUUAUAAAUAGCUCUUUGUGGGUUUGCUUUUGAGGGGAGUACGGGAGAGAGAGAAAAGGCCUCUUGGGUGCCGUACCAGAGAGAGAAAAAGAGAGAGAGAGAGUUAUUUAGUGCACCUAGUGCAUGGGUGCGCGCGGAUGAUUGUCUUCUUUAUGGGAUUAUAGAAGACGAGAGAAGGGUAGAAAAAGAUUCAAGAAAGAGGGCUCGGGUUGUAGCUACUCUGUGCAGAAGAGGAGUCAGGUGUAAUCUUCUCUUAUUUAAUGAAUUUUAUUUUACCCGCAUAUUUUCUGUUUUGGUAUUUCUCUCUUUUAUGAUUGAAUCAGCUUUUGCUGAGGAGACGGGUUUAUGGUAAAAAACCCGAUUCGACGCUUCCGUUGCGGAAUCCCAACAAUCGAUACCGAAUCCACAGCAGUCGGUAUCGGAGCGGGUUGCGGAUUCACGAGAUCCGGUACCGG